This 76-nucleotide transfer RNA is filed under the name Rickettsiales bacterium. RNAcentral describes it as "tRNA-Val". It matches the Rfam family "tRNA". Rfam says of the family: Transfer RNA (tRNA) molecules are approximately 80 nucleotides in length. Their secondary structure includes four short double-helical elements and three loops (D, anti-codon, and T loops). Further hydrogen bonds mediate the characteristic L-shaped molecular structure. tRNAs have two regions of fundamental functional importance: the anti-codon, which is responsible for specific mRNA codon recognition, and the 3' end, to which the tRNAs corresponding amino acid is attached (by aminoacyl-tRNA synthetases). tRNAs cope with the degeneracy of the genetic code in two manners: having more than one tRNA (with a specific anti-codon) for a particular amino acid; and 'wobble' base-pairing, i.e. permitting non-standard base-pairing at the 3rd anti-codon position. Lineage: Bacteria; Pseudomonadati; Pseudomonadota; Alphaproteobacteria; Rickettsiales. The record is from RNAcentral.
GGGCGGUUAGCUCAGUUGGUAGAGCAACUGGUUUACACCCAGUAGGUCAGAAGUUCGAGUCUUCUACCGCCCACCA